This 225-nucleotide long non-coding RNA is filed under the name Rattus norvegicus (Norway rat). Its description in RNAcentral is "long non-coding RNA NONRATT007282". Lineage: Eukaryota; Metazoa; Chordata; Mammalia; Rodentia; Muridae. The record is from RNAcentral.
ACUGUCCACAGCUAUCGGUGGUUCUGGGCUCUCUUGCUGGCCAGUCACUUCCUAGUGUAUCCCCGAUGCCACCGGACACCCCAGCUCCAUGUUCUUCUGAAGGAGCAGAGGACAGAACCACAGCCAUGCUUAGGGAGGCUGCUGGAGUUGAAUUUCUCCCCAUUGACUCCUUCAGAUACUGAAGCGCUUUGAAGCCGCUGUGAAGUAUGAGGCUGGCCUUGCUCU